This is a long non-coding RNA of Gastrolobium bilobum, 509 nucleotides long. RefSeq lists it as uncharacterized. NCBI's taxonomy places the organism in Eukaryota, Viridiplantae, Streptophyta, Magnoliopsida, Fabales, Fabaceae. The transcript is spliced from 3 exons. The record is from RefSeq and is a predicted model, not a curated record.
GAGGAACACUCAUUCCUCUAUUGUGUGAUCAUUGGUGGAUUGAGGCAAGAGGACCAAGUGGAGUGACCAACCCUUGGGGUUGUGUGCAAUUGAGGAAAGCUCAAAGAGCAAGGUACUGAUAGAGGUGAGGUUGAUCGAGGCAAGAAGCGUGAGUAGACUGUACCUGAUAGCUGGACAUGUUGAGUUGCAUGCCAUUUAGCAUUGCUAUAUGUAUAUUUUGAUGCCACAUGAUGUAUUUUGGAGGACUUAGUGCAUGAUCAUUGUAGUAGUAAUGGGUAUCUGAUACAGGGUUACUUGCUUUGAUCAUGUUCAUUUUGUAGCUAAGUCCUUUGGCAUGUAUAUGAGAUUUGUAAUUAAGACAUGAUGUAAUAUUGUAAGUAAUGAAGAUAUUGGUGUAUGAUGCUUACUGUAAGUUAAAUGCAUGAAUGUAUUUUUAUGUAUUGGAUAUGUUGAGCUGGAAAGUCAAUUAGGUACCUUGUGCUAAGUUGGGAAACGUUGAGAAAACAAAG